This 444-nucleotide unclassified non-coding RNA is filed under the name uncultured Russula. RNAcentral's name for it is "sequence contains ITS2". The stretch from base 1 to 154 matches the Rfam family "5.8S ribosomal RNA". The record is from RNAcentral. Lineage: Eukaryota; Fungi; Basidiomycota; Agaricomycetes; Russulales; Russulaceae.
AACUUUUGGCAAUGGAUCUCUUGGCUCUCGCAUCUAUGAAGAACGCAGCGAAAUGCGAUACGUAAUGUGAAUUGCAGAAUUCAGUGAAUCAUCGAAUCUUUGAACGCACCUUGCGCCCCUUGGCAUUCCGAGGGGCACACCCGUUUGAGUGUCGUGAAAUUCUCAAACCUUCUUGGUUUCUUGAUCAAGAUGGCUUUGGACUUUGGAGGCAUUUUGCUGGCUUUGCGAAAAGCCAGCUCCUCUUAAAUACAUUAGUGGGAUCCCCUUUGCCGAUCCCCAGGCGUGAUAAGAUAUUUCUACGUCUUGGGAUUUGCUCUGUUCCUUGGGAACCCGCUUCCAACCGUCUCAUGGGAGACAUCGUUCGAGUUUGCUCGACCCACGAACCUUGACCUCAAAUCGGGUGAGACUACCCGCUGAACUUAAGCAUAUCAAUAAGCGGAGGCU